Molecule: non-coding RNA, 994 nt
Organism: Gasterosteus aculeatus aculeatus (three-spined stickleback)
Lineage: Eukaryota; Metazoa; Chordata; Actinopteri; Perciformes; Gasterosteidae
Source: RefSeq, a predicted model, not a curated record
CUUUGAGGAAGUCGGCAGAGAAGAUUCCUCCUUUCUUCAUGGCGCCGGUCUUCCUCAUGCUGAGUGUUACGGAGCGGCGAGGGUGACGGAAAUGAAACUCCCUGCAAAAAGUUCAGCGGCUUUAGACGCAACGCGUAAAACUCCACGGCAAUGUUGACUGGCCACUUCCUCCGGACCAACGAGCAGCUUGGUGUGUUCUGUUGCCGUGGAAACAUCACGUCGCUGUUUGCCGUGUUUGAGACUCACUUGGGGGGAAUGUUUUCCGGUCGACUGGACCAGUCAGCCACCCAGUCUGCGUCCUUCAUCAGGAUGUCCAUGUCCCUCUCCUUGUCCAAGCCGUCCUCUUCUGACUGAAGACACACACACACACAUUUAACAAAAUUCUUUCUUUAAAAAGACACAUUUUGUAUAUUUCUGUGUGUGUGUGUGUGUGUGAUGCACAUAGAGAUCAAGGACAGGAAGAGCGAGUGAAAAGGCAUCUCCAUGGAAACUAAAGGCAGACACCAGUUGUCGUUCUCAUGCACACAAACAAACGCACCACUUUAGGGACAGUGGGGUUGCCAUGACAACAGUGCUAGAGAACCAGAGGAGACACACAAGCUCUUACUAGGCUGUCUCUUCGGCCGCUCAGGUCCACGUCGAAGAUGAUCUGUCCGUCAUCCUGGGGGCUGUGUGGCCGAGGGGGGCUGUGGAAACAAAGUACAGCUAGUUAGGGACAAUAAAAAAAGUUUCCUGAAGAAGAGCACGCCGACUAAAUCCUCCACAACCACAAACACAGACUGGCAUGAACACAAGAACUCGGGACUUUCACUGAACUUUUACCUAGAGGGCGAAAUUCCUGAAGAAGAGAAGUAAGAACAGAAGUACAAGCACCUUUAUUUUGUUAGUUUCAGAGUAUAUAUUUUAAUUUUAUGGUUUAUUUCACUUAAAUACACUUUCCAAACAGUUUUUUUUCACUUCUUUCCAUUGUAAAAAUGACAUUUAAAUUGCUCAC